AUUGAACGCUGGCGGCAGGCCUAACACAUGCAAGUCGAACGAGUGGCGGACGGGUGAGUAAUGUCUGGGAAACUGCCUGAUGGAGGGGGAUAACUACUGGAAACGGUAGCUAAUACCGCAUACCAUCGGAUGUGCCCAUAUGGGAUUAGCGUGUAGGUGGGGUAAAGGCUCACCUAGGCGACGAUCCCUAGCUGGUCUGAGAGGAUGACCAGCCACACUGGAACUGAGACAGGGUCCAGACUCCUACGGUAGGCAGCAGUGGGGAAUAUUGCACAAUGGGCGCAAGCCUGAUGCAGCCAUGCCGCGUGUAUGAAGAAGGCCUGCGGGUUGUAGAGUACUUUCAGCGGGGAGGCGUUACCGGCAGAAGAAGCACCGGCUAACUCCGUGCCAGCAGGCGCGGUAAUAC
This 406-nucleotide ribosomal RNA is filed under the name uncultured bacterium. RNAcentral's name for it is "partial 16S ribosomal RNA". It matches the Rfam family "Bacterial small subunit ribosomal RNA", at positions 30 to 526 of the family's 1533-position model. The record is from RNAcentral.